UACCUUUUACAUCGCAUAGUCAUUUUGAUCGAUUUGUUUACAAUAUGAUAAAAUUUAUGUGAAUUUCAUUCAUUUAAACAUAUUUGUGACAAUAAAUCUCCUAUCUGAUUGUUUUUUUGUAGCCAUAGUGAAUAUUUUUAUUAUUGAAAACGCCCUUUGAUACACGUGACCUAAGAGUUGUUGACGCUAGUUUUGUUCACUUAAUUUGUUUCGUCAUAAAUAAUUAAGGGCAUAGCAAAGGAAAUAUAAUCAGUGUCUAAUAGUGUUUAAUUAAUAGCAAAAAUGAGACCAGAAAGAAAAAAGGAAAAUCGUAGCCGAAGCCCCAGCCCUGUUAAGAGUGAUAAAAGUAAGAGUCGUAGUCGAAGUCGUUUAAGUAGUAGUUUGAGCAGUGAUACGGCUACAAGUCGUUCAAGAUCUCGCUCACGAAGUCCUUCGAAUAGUGAAGGAUAUCGGCUACAUAUUGGGGAUAUUGGAGAGGGUGUAUCGAAAGCUGAACUAGUUGAUAUUUUUAAAAAAUUUGGACCAUUAAAAGAAUUUUGGAUGGCUAAUAGUCCACCCUGCUUUGGAUUUGCUGUUUUUAAACGUAAACGUGAUGCCAAAGAAGCUUUAAAUGGAUGUGACGGAUUGACAGUAUAUGGGAGUCGAAUUCGCGUGAGCAUGGCAAGACCCCGUACUCGAGGACAUGGUCGACGAUGUUUCAGUCCAAGCAUGCGGUGUUAUCACUGUGGUAAUGCUGGUCAUUUUUAUCGUGAUUGUCCAGAGAAAUACGAUAACCGUUAUACUUCUAGUUUAUGGUUAUGGUUCCAUUGUAUCUAAAAUGGGGUGGUUUAUUUAUUGAUGUGGAACUCUGGCCUAUAGGUUUUGUUGUUGUACUUUGAUUUGUACAACGUGAGAUCACAACUAUAAAACUACUACACUGACCUCUUUUUGUAAAAUAACAAAAUGAAAGGAUAUAGUAUUCACCACGAAUCUUUUGAAUUUAUGUUCCUCGAUUUGUUGUUGUUUUUCAUCUGAAAAAUGUUGUCUUCUCCCCUAAAUUUUCAUAUUUUAUAUAAAAAUCACAUUCAUGAUUUAUUUGUUGGCUGGCUUACUACACGAAUCAUUCGGCAAUUUUGGGGCAAGUCAACAAAAUCAAUUGAAAAUUCGUUAUUUGAGACGUGUAUGUUGUUUUGAGAUGCGAUGUGGACAAAAUGGUCUAUGGUUGUUUAAAAAAAACUGAUGUUUUUGGAACUACCGUAUGUUGUUAUAUAAAACGGCAGGAAACGUUAAUUUCGGUGUGGUUGAAUUUCGUUGUUGAUUGGAGUUAGAAAAUUUUCUUUUUCUUUUUGAUAGUUUGUUCUGGUUCCAAUCAAAAAAUUUUAUCAAAUUUGAUCUAGUCAUCAUCGAUCCAGUGGCAAAUCAGAUCGUUAUUCAGCACGUGAUUCGCGUGACUAUCAUAGCAGGGACAGAAGAGACCGUCAAAGAUCACGCCGCCGAUACUAAAUUCUUGAUAUUUAGUGUAG
RNA transcript from Chrysoperla carnea, 1502 nucleotides. It is a transcript of the gene named serine/arginine-rich splicing factor 7-like, with no coding region annotated. The transcript is spliced from 5 exons. NCBI's taxonomy places the organism in Eukaryota, Metazoa, Arthropoda, Insecta, Neuroptera, Chrysopidae. The record is from RefSeq and is a predicted model, not a curated record.